UGCCCCAGUAACGGCGAGUGAAGCGGCAACAGCUCAAAUUUGAAAUCUGGCCCCCCGGCCCGAGUUGUAAUUUGCAGAGGAUGCUUUUGGUGAGGCACCUACCGAGUCCCCUGGAAUGGGGCGCCAUAGAGGGUGAGAGCCCCGUAUGGUAGGACGCCGAACCUCUGUAAAGCUCCUUCGACGAGUCGAGUAGUUUGGGAAUGCUGCUCUAAAUGGGAGGUAAAUUUCUUCUAAAGCUAAAUACCGGCCAGAGACCGAUAGCGCACAAGUAGAGUGAUCGAAAGAUGAAAAGCACUUUGAAAAGAGGGUUAAAAAGUACGUGAAAUUGUUGAAAGGGAAGCGCUUGUGACCAGACUUGCGCCGGGCGGAUCAUCCAGCGUUCUCGCUGGUGCACUCCGCCCGGUUCAGGCCAGCAUCGGUUUUCGCCGGGGGACAAAGGCUUCGGGAACGUGGCUCCUUUCGGGGAGUGUUAUAGCCCGUUGCGUAAUACCCCGGCGGGGACCGACGACCGCGCUUCGGCAAGGAUGCUGGCGUAAUGGUCAUCAGCGACCCGUCUUGAAACACGGACCGAGGAGUCAAGCAUUAGUGCGAGUGUUUGGGUGUAAAACCCGCACGCGUAAUGAAAGUGAACGUAGGUGAGAGCUUCGGCGCAUCAUCGACCGAUCCUGAUGUUUUCGGAAGGAUUUGAGUAGGAGCAUUAACGCUUGGACCCGAAAGAUGGUGAACUAUACUUGAAUAGGGUGAAGCCA
RNAcentral lists this ribosomal RNA (749 nucleotides) under Pyricularia grisea. RNAcentral describes it as "partial large subunit ribosomal RNA". It matches the Rfam family "Eukaryotic large subunit ribosomal RNA", at positions 76 to 854 of the family's 3401-position model. Lineage: Eukaryota; Fungi; Ascomycota; Sordariomycetes; Magnaporthales; Pyriculariaceae. RNAcentral also lists the same sequence under 2 other names. The record is from RNAcentral.